GGAACCUUAGCUCAGUUGGCAGAGCAUUCGCCGUUACGAAUUAAAUACAGCGUCGCGCCCAGGUUCGACCCCUGGAGGUUUCU
RNAcentral lists this transfer RNA (83 nucleotides) under Cytophagaceae bacterium. Its description in RNAcentral is "tRNA-OTHER". The record is from RNAcentral. Lineage: Bacteria; Pseudomonadati; Bacteroidota; Cytophagia; Cytophagales; Cytophagaceae.